AGAGGCUGCAUGGGAGAGAUCGGCCUACUGGCCGGCGCCGACGGAGCAACCCCCCAGGAAACUCUCAGGCAAAAGUGACCAUGCAGC
RNAcentral lists this non-coding RNA (87 nucleotides) under Aminobacter niigataensis. RNAcentral's name for it is "Glycine". It matches the Rfam family "Glycine riboswitch aptamer". Rfam says of the family: This family represents the bacterial glycine riboswitch. The record is from RNAcentral. Lineage: Bacteria; Pseudomonadati; Pseudomonadota; Alphaproteobacteria; Hyphomicrobiales; Phyllobacteriaceae.